RNAcentral lists this ribosomal RNA (301 nucleotides) under uncultured bacterium. RNAcentral's name for it is "partial 16S ribosomal RNA". It matches the Rfam family "Bacterial small subunit ribosomal RNA", at positions 509 to 807 of the family's 1533-position model. The record is from RNAcentral.
CAGCCGCCGCGGGAAUACAGAGGGUGCGAGCGUUAAUCGGAUUUACUGGGCGUAAAGCGUGCGCAGGCGGUUAUAUAAGACAGAUGUGAAAUCCCCGGGCUCAACCUGGGAACUGCAUUUGUGACUGUAUAGCUAGAGUACGGCAGAGGGGGAUGGAAUUCCGCGUGUAGCAGUGAAAUGCGUAGAUAUGCGGAGGAACACCGAUGGCGAAGGCAAUCCCCUGGGCCUGUACUGACGCUCAUGCACGAAAGCGUGGGGAGCAAACAGGAUUAGAUACCCCUGUAGUCCCUGUCUCUUAUAC